ACUUAUUGAAGUCAACCAGGAUGUGAGGUCAUUGAGUGAAUGUCUUCGCGUGUGUGUGGAGUGAGUGUGAGAGUGGUUGUUUGUGUGCGUGAAUGUUUGUGUUUGUGUGAGUGAAUGGGAUAAUUUUAAAAAUCUACACCGUGAUCUUAUUUGAUCUGGUCCGAGUUGUUGCCCUGCUCGGAUACAGAGAUGAUAAUAACCGACUCGUGAGCUUCUGUAGCGAUGACCGUGAGGCUUUUCUAAACUCGGGGCAUCCACAGUUGAAACUGUGGUAAGAAAUGAUGAAUCAAUCAGAUAUACUAGAACAGACAGGGUGCUGGAUCUCGGUCCGUUAUGCCCUGUUUGUUCACUGAGUAUAACGGCGAUUCUGAUCUCA
Non-coding RNA from Cyprinus carpio carpio, 376 nucleotides. Ensembl annotates it as small Cajal body-specific RNA 2. Lineage: Eukaryota; Metazoa; Chordata; Actinopteri; Cypriniformes; Cyprinidae. The record is from Ensembl.